RNAcentral lists this ribosomal RNA (460 nucleotides) under uncultured bacterium. RNAcentral describes it as "partial 16S ribosomal RNA". It matches the Rfam family "Bacterial small subunit ribosomal RNA", at positions 338 to 795 of the family's 1533-position model. The record is from RNAcentral.
CCUACGGGAGGCAGCAGUGAGGAAUAUUGGUCAAUGGACGAGAGUCUGAACCAGCCAAGCAGCGUGAAGGAUGACUGCCCUAUGGGUUGUAAACUUCUUUUAUAUGGGAAUAAAAUGUUCCACGUGUGGGAUUUUGUAUGUACCAUAUGAAUAAGGAUCGGCUAACUCCGUGCCAGCAGCCGCGGUAAUACGGAGGAUCCGAGCGUUAUCCGGAUUUAUUGGGUUUAAAGGGAGCGUAGGUGGAUUGUUAAGUCAGUUGUGAAAGUUUGCGGCUCAACCUUAGAAUUGCAGUUGAAACUGGCAGUCUUGAGUACAGUAGAGGGGGGCGGAAUUCGUGGUGUAGCGGUGAAAUGCUUAGAGAUCACGAAGAACACCGAUUGCGAAGGCAGUUCACUGGACUGCAACUGACGCUGAGGCUCGAAAGUGUGGGUAUCAAACAGGAUUAGAUACCCGAGUAGUC